GACGGUGUGUGUGUGUGUGUUUAUAGGCUAGUGGCAAAUGGUCAGAAAGGGCUUUAGUUUUUGAGAUACCCCUACCGGAGGUAGAACUAAACCCAACAAUGUUUUUCCUCAUCUCUAAGGUCUCCCAUAUAUGAAAUGGAU
Molecule: long non-coding RNA, 141 nt
Organism: Alosa sapidissima (American shad)
Lineage: Eukaryota; Metazoa; Chordata; Actinopteri; Clupeiformes; Clupeidae
Exons: 3
Source: RefSeq, a predicted model, not a curated record